GACGAACGCUGGCGGCGUGCUUAACACAUGCAAGUCGAACGGAAAGGCCCUGCUUUUGUGGGGUGCUCGAGUGGCGAACGGGUGAGUAACACGUGAGUAACCUGCCCUUGACUUUGGGAUAACUUCAGGAAACUGGGGCUAAUACCGGAUAGGAGCUCCUGCUGCAUGGUGGGGGUUGGAAAGUUUCGGCGGUUGGGGAUGGACUCGCGGCUUAUCAGCUUGUUGGUGGGGUAGUGGCUUACCAAGGCUUUGACGGGUAGCCGGCCUGAGAGGGUGACCGGCAACAUUGGGACUGAGAUACGGCCCAGACUCCUACGGGAGGCAGCAGUGGGGAAUAUUGCACAAUGGGCGGAAGCCUGAUGCAGCAACGCCGCGUGCGGGAUGACGGCCUUCGGGUUGUAAACCGCUUUCGCCUGUGACGAAGCGUGAGUGACGGUAAUGGGUAAAGAAGCACCGGCUAACUACAUG
RNAcentral lists this ribosomal RNA (468 nucleotides) under uncultured bacterium. RNAcentral describes it as "partial 16S ribosomal RNA". It matches the Rfam family "Bacterial small subunit ribosomal RNA", at positions 28 to 507 of the family's 1533-position model. The record is from RNAcentral.